This 393-nucleotide ribosomal RNA is filed under the name uncultured bacterium. Its description in RNAcentral is "partial 16S ribosomal RNA". It matches the Rfam family "Bacterial small subunit ribosomal RNA", at positions 523 to 918 of the family's 1533-position model. The record is from RNAcentral.
AUACGGAGGACGCGAGCGUUAUCCGGAUUUAUUGGGUUUAAAGGGUGCGUAGGCGGAUGAUUAAGCGUGAGGUGAAAUGCCACUGCUCAACAGUGGAACUGCCUCGCGAACUGGUUGUCUUGAAUGCUCCUGCCGUGGGAGGAAUGUGUGGUGUAGCGGUGAAAUGCAUAGAGAUCACACAGAACACCGAUUGCGAAGGCAUCUCACGAAGGGGUGAUUGACGCUGAGGCACGAAAGCGUGGGGAUCAAACAGGAUUAGAUACCCUGGUAGGCCACGCAGUAAACGAUGAUGGCUAACCGCUGGAUCCAUCGGUUCAGUGGCCAAGCGAAAGCGAUAAGCCAUCCACCUGGGGAGUACGACCGCAAGGUUGAAACUCAAAGGAAUUGACGGGG